This 121-nucleotide small nucleolar RNA is filed under the name Sorex araneus (European shrew). RNAcentral describes it as "Small nucleolar RNA SNORA5 (ENSSARG00000018295.1)". It matches the Rfam family "Small nucleolar RNA SNORA5". Rfam says of the family: ACA5 is a member of the H/ACA class of snoRNA that guide the sites of modification of uridines to pseudouridines. Lineage: Eukaryota; Metazoa; Chordata; Mammalia; Eulipotyphla; Soricidae. The record is from RNAcentral.
UGCAGCCAUGUCAAAUUUGGUGCCUACCCCACCGUGGCCAGUGUUGAGGAAGAAGGAUACCACAGGAAUGCUACGACACCAGGACCCUGGGAUCCAGGAAUAAAUUUGGUCACAGAAACUG